This 497-nucleotide ribosomal RNA is filed under the name uncultured bacterium. RNAcentral describes it as "partial 16S ribosomal RNA". It matches the Rfam family "Bacterial small subunit ribosomal RNA", at positions 28 to 507 of the family's 1533-position model. The record is from RNAcentral.
GAUGAACGCUGGCGGCGUGCCUAAUACAUGCAAGUCGAGCGAACAGAUGAGGAGCUUGCUCCUCUGACGUUAGCGACGGACGGGUGAGUAACACGUGGAUAACCUACCUAUAAGACUGGGAUAACUUCGGGAAACCGGAGCUAAUACCGGAUAAUAUAUUGAACCGCAUGGUUCAAUAGUGAAAGACGGUUUUGCUGUCACUUAUAGAUGGAUCCGCGCCGCAUUAGCUAGUUGGUAAGGUAACGGCUUACCAAGGCAACGAUGCGUAGCCGACCUGAGAGGGUGAUCGGCCACACUGGAACUGAGACACGGUCCAGACUCCUACGGGAGGCAGCAGUAGGGAAUCUUCCGCAAUGGGCGAAAGCCUGACGGAGCAACGCCGCGUGAGUGAUGAAGGUCUUCGGAUCGUAAAACUCUGUUAUUAGGGAAGAACAAAUGUGUAAGUAACUAUGCACGUCUUGACGGUACCUAAUCAGAAAGCCACGGCUAACUACGUG